RNAcentral lists this ribosomal RNA (1749 nucleotides) under Prorocentrum micans. RNAcentral's name for it is "partial Eukaryotic small subunit ribosomal RNA". It matches the Rfam family "Eukaryotic small subunit ribosomal RNA". Lineage: Eukaryota; Dinophyceae; Prorocentrales; Prorocentraceae. The record is from RNAcentral.
GUAGUCAUAUGCUUGUCUCAAAGAUUAAGCCAUGCUUGUCUAAGUAUAAAUAGUAUACAGAGAAACUGCGAAUGGCUCAUUAAAACAGUUAUAGUUUAUUUGAUAAUGGAAAGCUACAUGGAUAACCGUGGUAAUUCUAGAGCUAAUACAUGCUGUCAAACCCGACUUUUUGGAAGGGUUGUAUUUAUUAGAUAUUAAGCCAAUAUUCCUUGUGUCUAUUGUGGUGAAUCAUAGUAACUGAUCGAAUCCCUUUUUGUGGAUAAAUUAUUCAAGUUUCUGCCCUAUCAGCUUUCGAUGGUAGUGUAUUGGACUACCAUGGCAGUCACGGGUAACGGAGAAUUAGGGUUCGGUUCCGGAGAGGGAGCCUGAGAAACGGCUACCACAUCUAAGGAAGGCAGCAGGCGCGUAAAUUACCCAAUCCUGAUUCAGGGAGGUAGUGACAAGAAAUAACAACCUGGGGGAAUUUAUUCCUUACGGGAUUGCAAUGAGAACAAUUUAAACGACUUAUCGAGGAACAAUUGGAGGGCAAGUCUGGUGCCAGCAGCCGCGGUAAUUCCAGCUCCAAUAGCGUAUAUUAAAGUUGUUGCAGUUAAAAAGCUCGUAGUUGAAUUUCUGCGUAUGCCUAGUUCUGGCUUUGGUCAAGCUAGUGUGUGCGCAUCCGCUUGCAAAUCCGGACCGGCGUUUACUCGUCGACCGGGGGAGUAGGCCCUUUACCUUGAAAAAAUUAGAGUGUUUCAGGCAGGCAAUGGCUCGAAUACAUUAGCAUGGAAUAAUAGAAUAGGACUUUUGUCUAUUUGGUUGGUUAUUAGACAUGAGUAAUGAUUAAAAGGGACAGUUGGGGGCAUUAGUAUUUAAUAGUCAGAGGUAAAAUUCUUGGAUUUAUUAAAGACUAACUUAUGCGAAAGCAUUUGCCAAGGAUGUUUUCAUUAAUCAAGAACGAAAGUUAGGGGAUCGAAGACGAUCAGAUACCGUCCUAGUCUUAACCAUAAACUAUGCCAACUGGAAAUUGGAAUAUAUGGAGAGAAAAUAUAUUCAGUAUUGUGCCUGAAAAGAGUAAGUGUGUGGGCUCCGGGGGGAGUAUAGUUGCAAGACUGAAACUUAAAGGAAUUGACGGAAGGGCACCACCAGGAGUGGAGCCUGCGGCUUAAUUUGACGCAACACGGGAAAUCUCACCAAGUCCAGACAUACGCAGGAUUGACAGAUUAAUUGCUCUUUCUCGAUUGUAUGGGUGGUGGUGCAUGGCCGUUCUUAGUUGGUGGAGUGAUUUGUCUGGUUAAUUCCGUUAACGAACGAGAUCCUAUUCUGCUAACUGUUGCAACAGUCUUUGGAAUGUUGGUACACUUAGAGGGACAUUGCGUGAGUAAUGCACGGAAGAGUCGGGCAAUAACAGGUCUGUGAUGCCCUUAGAUGUCCUGGGCUGCACGCGCGCUACAAUGGCACAUGCCCCAAUGUACCUAUGUCUGACAAGAACAUAGGAUCAAGCAACGAUGCCGUGCCGGGAAUAGAUGAUUGUAAUUUUUUAUCUUGAACGAGGAAUUCCUAGUAAGAACAGAUCAACAAUCUGUGCUGAUUACGUCCCUGCCCUUUGUACACACCGCCCGUCGCUCCUACCGAUUGAGUAAUCCGGUGAAUGGUGACGAUUGUUCGAACGCUCUUGAGCCUCGUGCAACAAGCAUCGUUAACCUCACUACUUAGAGGAAGGAGAAGUCGUAACAAGGUUUCCGUAGGUGAACCUGCGGAAGGAUCAUU